RNAcentral lists this long non-coding RNA (995 nucleotides) under Salmo salar (Atlantic salmon). RNAcentral describes it as "lncRNA (ENSSSAG00000100126.1)". The record is from RNAcentral. Lineage: Eukaryota; Metazoa; Chordata; Actinopteri; Salmoniformes; Salmonidae.
GGUAUGUAACAAUAUAACAAUACUACAUUGUUGUUACUAGUGUAAUAAUAGCAUAACCACACAUAUCUACCUAGCUAUACAUGUCUACUUUGAUAACAAGGUUGCCAAGAAAAUUUAAUAAUUAUUUCCUUUUCAAAUGUGAUAAAAGUAGCCCUUUGCAAUGCACCCUUCUAUCUUAUAGUGCAUCCAGCGUUGUAUCUCCUCUCUUUCUAGGUGCCUUCACACAAAGCCCUCUUUUCACUUCUCAAACAAGUUCAGGCUAGCUUUGUAAUGGGCAAUCGCCAUGAAAAGCCAGAGUCAGUCAGACAGGAAGAGACCAUACAAUAAUUGAAAUAUGCAGUACUACAAUACCCUUGUAUAACACUAUUGACAUGUAAGGGCCCAUAGAAACUAAAUGAAUACAUUUUAGCAGAGUUGGGUUGCCAGACGCUGUCCGUCCGUCCGUCCGUCUGUCUUUCUUCCAAUUUUGCUAUGUUCAGGUCAAUUGAGCAGCUUGGUUUUAGAAGAGUGACUGACAGACAAGCAGCGUAACCUCUCAGUCAUCUCAGGAAACGUCAUACCCAGGGGCUGCACAGCUUUUACUUCCAUUAGUCUUCAUUUCAGGAUCGCACAGGGCUUUGACGUCCACUAAAAGAAGGCUGUGUGCAAACAUACGUCCUUCUUCAUGAAGAAAAAACAAGGAUUACUUUAGGAUGACACAAUGAAAGUUAUUUAGAGGGGCGGUUUAUUUUGGGUGACCUUCAAUAUUGACUAAAAAGAGACCAAAAUAAGGUGCGGGAUCCUACAACAAAGUGAUCCAUGACUUGCUGACGUGUUGCCUAUGGUUUGUACCACUUUAACCUGCCACAAGCUCUCCAGGACCAGGGAGAUUGGAAAUCACCUGAGAUGGCGGCUGUAUUUGACAGCUACGCCCGCUUCUGCUUUUGAAACUGUGGAUGACGUCGAACGAGCCAUACUUGUGCGCUAAACUGGGCCAUGAGGAUGGCAUCUUUGCC